CUCCUAGUAAACAAAGGAAACAAAUCAUAUAUAAACCAAACUGAGCAAAAGCACCCUUGAUUAUGCUCCAUGUCUCCAAUAAUUUUGCACAUUUUGUGAUGGUCAUAAACUCAUAAUUAAAAUCAAUUCACUUAUAUUCUGAAGCAGGAUAACACUGAACCAGAAUCCAAUGCAAGUAAAUACCAUAAGAAAUCAAACAAUGGCAAAAACUCAGCCUUUUACCACCAAUAGGUUUGCAUUGUUUAUUAGUUUAAAAUUAUGAAAUUCAACAUAAAUUUCCAAACUAUGAAUUUUGAAACAUAAGAAGAAUGUGAUGCCACAUAUUAGACUGAUACCUUUAUCACCCUGCAUAAGGUUUUCCCAUACUCUUUGAAGAGCAAAUUGCCAUGACAAAUCAACUUGAGGAUGAGUUGUUGGUAAAGAAUGGGAUCCGUCCUUGGGUAAAACAGAUAUAUUUGGUACAAAGUUUCUUGAAACAAACACCUAAAAUAUCAUCUAAAAGCUUGUAAAAACCAUAAAAUUAGAUACAGAAUUUCUCUGUCCAGGCUAACUUCUUGCUAUCCCAUUGACAUUAAUCUUACCUUUUAUUCAAUCUAAAAAUAAAGAAGAUAAAUUUUAUGCAGUUGUCAUCGAAGUGAAUUGCAAUUUUUUUUUUUUUUUUGCAUGCUUUAUGUCAUAUUGCAAUUAUCAUGGAAGUUAAGUCACUGUUUAAUACCAUCAAUCCAACAGUCUAGGAAACUAAGACAGCUUCAGCAACAAUGGCUUUGUUAUAGUGUUAAGAAUACUAAGGAGAUGUCACACUAGGAAUAACGGAAGACAUGAACUGAUACUCUUUGACUAAUCUCAAGACAUCAGCCAAUGCAAAGGAACCAGUUCUACAAGGACCUUGUCAAUCAAAUUAACGAAAACAAAAAAGAGAAGCAAAGGGAGAAUGGAGAAGCAAGCAUUAAAGCCUACAAGAUAAUAUGUAAAGCUUAAAAGAUAUGAUAUGAUUACAUAAUAUCAAAAUGCCAGGAAAAUCUCAAAGCUAAACCGUUGUCUACACAAAAAAAGAGGAAAUUUGUCUGCAGCGGGAUGAUCAUGGUCUCGGCUCUCAGCUUCUUUUGUUAUGCUUGGGAGCAGGCCCCUAUGUACAUGGGGUUUAUGCCUGAUCCUAUUGGCAACCCAAUUGUUUUUUUAUUUCUUUCUCUAUAUGCAGGGAAAGUCAUGGCAGGGGUCUGUCCUGCAAUGAGCUAACCUGCACUACCACCACAAAGGGUAGUUUUUUGUAACCAUAUUAAUUCUAGUCGUGAAAUCUUACCUGAACACUUUUCAAAAGAUUAAAAAAAAAAUAUUCAAAGCUAAAUAUCAUUGCAAAAAGACUGAUACAUUAAUUCAUCUCAAAGCUAAUACAAUAAACAAGACAAAAAUCACUUGAUCAUUCAAGCUCGUAUAAUUCAUUUUUAAAAAUCACUUGAUCAUCAGACUCAGUUAUCAAGAAAAGAAAAACAAAUUAUACCUUCAAAUAAUCGAAAAGCAAAUCGAGGUGAUCCCCUUGUUACUCUUAUUAGUAGGAGUGCAUUGCAGUGCAAUUAGAUUACCUACACCAAGAAAAAGAUGGCAUUAUCUCUUAUGAAAAGCAUAGACCCAAAUGAAGAACAAAAAAGAUCAUAAAAAUGUCUAACUCACCUGCAACUACUUCGAACUGAGGAUUUGACAUUACAAAAUUAGAGUUUUCGGUCAUCUAAUGUAUCAAUUAUUUGGAUGGAGGGUAUGUGGCGCACUUUAGAGAAAUCCUUUCCUUCUCUUCCAUCUAUCACUUGAAUCCUCUCUACCAAUGACUGCCUCAUUAAGAUUAAUUCCAAUUCUUGAAGAGCAAAAAUAUACCUCAACCCUUCUGGAAAAGUCCUCAAAUUUUCAACAUCGUGCAUUCGUAAACGCUGGAGAUGUGGCAUUGCACCUUCUUCUAUCUGCCACUCUUCUAAUUCUUUUAGACCUCCGAUGUAAAGAAAAUCAAGUUGCAGAAACUCAUUUGCAGAGCAAACCAUUUUACUCCCCGCAUAUGAUUUAUACCAUAAGCGGAGAGUCCUCAGAUGAGGCAACUUUCCCAAUACAGCCAUUGGAUCCUGGUUCAUCAUACAUGACGACAAAGUUAACUUGGUAAUGUUUGCUGGCAGAAAUUUCAAAACAUGAAGGCUUGAAUGCGGAUCUUCUUGUAUCAUCCCUCUUAAGGAUAGUUUCGAUAGGUGAUGGCACCGAGAAAGGGGUUCCAAAUCUGGGAAUGGGAUAGAAUCCUGUAAUGACAUGCGCAAUGAGCAAAGGCGGUGUGAUUCGACCAGUGCUUUCAGGAUAGGCUCAACAUCUUUUGAUCUCUCAAAAAUUAUUCCCAAAUUCUUAACAUUAGUCAAGAUGAGCGCUGCACUAUUUUCAAUCAAAGUCUCAACCCGUAUGUACUUUAAAGUUUCAAUACUUUUUGAAGCAUCACUUGGCAGCAAAAACUUAUGUACUCCCUCCCAACCAUUGUAAUUUUGCACAAUAAUAUGUCUUAAACGUUUCAACUGGAAGAGAACAUUAGGAAUUCUUGUUAAUGCUUGAUUUCGGAGGUAUAAAGUGUGUAAACUCUUCAAUUUGCCGAUAGACUGUGGCAAGAUGAUCCUUCCUGAACAUUCUAACCCCAAAUACCUCAAAUGAUGUAGAUUACCAAUUUCAUUUGACACAUGCCACUUCAUCAUAUCCCUUUUCAUAAGAUUCAAGACCCUUAAAAAUUUGAAAUCAUUGCAUUUUGAAAUUUGCAAUUUUAUCAUUUCCUCGUUUUGAAAGAGCAAAAGAGAAUGUAAGUUUGGAUGUUUUCCUUUCAAAGAAACAACCUUUUGUUAGGAUGAAUAGCAAUUCUUCGUGCCAUAGAUGCUGUCAAGGUCACAUGAAGAGAAUUACCAUUGUUUUCAUUAAUUGGUGGUUGAAUAAUUCCCAAGAAAUUUUCCUCUUGAGCUUUUCGGAUGCACAAGUCCCUCAAGAGAUCAUGUAUGUGACAUGUUUUCACACCUAUUCCUGUAUAGUCCCUCUUGCCAACUUGAACCAAACAUCUAUUUAUUAGUUCUUCUAGGAAUUGUUCAGCAACAUCCUCCAUCAACAUUCCCUCAUUUUCCCAUGAUGGUGAAAUGAAACCUUCAGCAAUCCAUAAUCGAAUGAGUUCUUUUUUGGAGAUCUCCCAAUCUUCUGGAUAAUGACCAAGAUAUAAAAAGCAUGGUUUUAAAUGAAAGGGCAACUCAUUGUAGCUUAAAGCCAAAAUCUCAUUCACUGCACCAUAAUGAUGAUCUUGUUGUUGGAACUUAUUUAUGUGUGCAUUGAUGUUUCGGUGAACCAUCUCCCACUGAGCCCGUGACUUUUUUGUUGCCAACAAACCUCCUAACGCAGCAAUGGCCAGAGGUAAACCUCCACAUUUUUUCACCAUCUCUCUUCCUAGCAUCUCCAAUUCUUCUGCGCAAGCAUGAGACUCUAUCUUGUUGCCUGGGAAUGCUUUCAUUCUAAAAAGCUUCCAACUUCCAUUAUCUGUAAGAACUGGAAGCUCUAUUGGGGAGUUGCAAGGAUCGGCAAGUAACGGCACAUCCCUGUUGCGUGUUGUGAAUAAAAUUUUACUUCCCCUUUUUCCUCGUGGAAAAGCAGAUUUAAGACUAUUCCAAUCCUCGUUUCUCCAGAUAUCAUCAAGGACUAUCAAGUAAUGUUUUUCUUUCAAGACAUCAUAAAGCCUUUUGAUCAACUCAUUCUCUUUCAGUUUAUCAAUUAGCUCUCUUUCUUGUGUAGAAGGACAUAGAAGUUUUAUCAGGAGAUCAUGCAAAACAUCUCUUGGCAUACAUUGUCGAGAUAUAAAAGUCCAAGCAAAACAAUCAAAAUGUCCUUUCACAUCAAUGUGAUUAUAUACUUUUUUAGCAAGAGUGGUCUUACCGAUGCCCCCCAUGCCGACUAUUGAAACAACCACAUGAAGUCUAUCUUCUUCUGUCAUCAGCUGAGCCAGAACCUCAUUUGUGAUACCCUCCAAGCUGACAACAUCCUCUUCCUCAACAUGUGAAUAUGUUCUCCUUAACCGCUGCUGCAUCUCGGAAAUAGAGUUAGACCCCUCUCUUCCAGAUAUCUGAUCAUAAGCUGGAAGACUCUUAGAGAUGUCUUCAAGCUUAGUCAGGAUUGCUUUGACCUUCACCCCGAUUUUGUGCAGAUGAAAAGGCUUGGUGAAUCUCUUGAUAAUUCCAUGAAAGCCCCCUUGAUGCGCGACAUGAAGAAUGAAGGUGUCAAUAACAUCUUCUGCUUCAUAAGCAAGAUCUCUGAUUUGUCUCACCAAAGUGCAGGUAAGCUCAUUUUGAUCUUGCUUAUUGUCCGCAACCUUCAAGCAGCUCUUCAUCCUCUCCAGUUCAGCCUUUAGGCGCUGCACCUCCUCACGAACGCCAUGCAGGUAAACAGCUUCAUGAAUGAGUAAAUCCGAUAUUCUUUCAAUAGCUAAGGACACUAUAGCCUCUGCCAUUUGUGCCGCUGAUUCAAAGUAGUCUUCUUUUUCUGCACAACUUUCCUAAUUUCUGUCGCUGGGUAUGUAUAGUUGCCUAAAUUGACAAGACACAGGCGGCAGGGUGAGAGAGAAAGGAGGGAGUUAAAAUGACGAAUCAGGGAUUCCUUUGUUAGCUUUAAAUAUAAAAGAACAAAAGACGAAAGAACUGUUUUAUAUCAUGCGUGAGAGGAGCCAACAGAACCGGUCCAAGCCCAUGAUCCAAGUAUUUCAUAGGUGGUGUUUUUGCUAUAAUUUAUACAAUAAUAAAGAUAAUUAUGUAAUUGAUUAAAUAAAUAAUAUUAAUAAAAAAUUACAACAAUAAGGAUAUGAUUAUAAUGAAUAAAAACAAAAAUAUUAAAUUAAUGUUAAUUACAAAUAUAUAAUGCAAUUUGAUUGAUAGUUUGUUCAAUGCUAUAUUAUGUUUAUACAUUAUGAUCUUUAUUAUGAAUAAUUGAAUCAUAUUUUUUAAACAAUAUGCUAAUACAUUCAUAUAUUUUUUUGAUAACACGAAUAUUAAUAUAAAUGUUUUAGCUAUCAUCAUUAUCCAAAUCCAGAUCUUACCCUCUUUGUGGUAGCUCAAGUGAGUGAAGAAAAAAACUCAAUGAACUGUCUUUUGGGUAAAAAGGGGAAAAAGAUUACAUGUAAUUGUCAUUAACAAUGAAUUGCAAUGUUUUGCUGCAUUUUCUUGUCUCAACUUGUUGCAGAAACAAUACUGCAUUGGCUCAAGCCAAUUCCGGAUUCCGUUAACCGAAAGUGUAUACCUAAACCGACAAAGCUUAGAAAGAGUGAGCUUUGGCAACACAAACAGCAUGGAGAAGUUGCCUCACUUGGAAAGGACAAUGAAGCGAAGGCUGUUGCCAAGUAGGAGCACAAAGGAAGGUUCAACCUCAUUUCUUGAUUAAUCUUAAGACAUCACCGACAAGAUGCAAGGAACCGGUUACCAGGACCUGUUCAAAUCAAAAUAAGGAAAUCGUAAAAACCCAAGAGAAGCACAAGAGAGAAGUAGGUGUAACCAGUAAAAGCAUACAAAGUAACCCCUUCUCUUUCACAGCCGAGCCAUGACCUCAAUACCUUUUGAAUUACACCAUGUUGACUUGGUACAGAUGACGCAUUCCCUUACCAAUGUAAUUGAAAGGAAGGCUGGAUUUCGAAUUCGUCCAUCCUCGCAAAGAAAUUUCAUCCAGAUGACUACAUAAACUAGAUGAUCAGGUACUUUUUUGGGGAAAUUUUUUUGCAAAGCCUAACCAAGUGUUCCUAAGAAAGAAGGGUACAAGUGCAACCAUCCAGUCAAAAUAUACAUAUAUUUUAAGGCUAACUCAGCCAACGGUUUUGUCAACAGAAAUGUUUCUUUCUUCUCUCCCAUUCUCAGAAAAAAGAAAUGUACACUUCCAUAACCCAGAGUAGAAUAUCUAUGCUUUUCUCAAUUCUGUAACCAUAAAAAAUGUUUCCAAGGAAAAACUCACCUAAUGGCUUGAUUCAUUUAUAAUCCCAUCCGUUCUAAAACCUUCGAGGUCUCAUGUGCUAGACUUCAACCUCAUCAGAAACAAGGUUGAAUAUACUAAGCUCUGAUACUACAGCUAGCAACUCAAUCUACAGUACUCUAACCUUGUUACAUAUGAGGCAGGCAAAUAUUUGCAAUAGCAGACUAUAUAUUCUCAAACAAAUAUAAUCCCAAAACACAAGAAUUACCUGAAAUCUAACAAAUUGAUCCUUCUGGGCAGCAUCCCUGAGCCAUUUGAUGGCCAAUGGUAGAGAAGAAAAGACAGAACUGUUAUUACAACUCCUAACGCUCAUUCCUGUAUCAUCUUUCACUUCUUCACAAGCUUGAUCUGUGUUAAUGGCCUCCCCUCCUAGUAAACAAAGGAAACAAAUCAUAUGUAAACCAAACUGAACAAAAGCACCCUUGAUUAUGCUCCAUGUCUCCAAUAAUUUUGCACAUUUCGUGAUGGUCAUAAUUAAACUCAAUUCACUUAUAAUCUGAAGCAGGAAAAUGGAACUAGAAUCCAAGGCAAGUAAAUACCAUAAGAAAUCAAACUAUGGCAAAAUCUCAACCAUUUACCACCAAUAGGUUUGCACUGUUUAUUAGUUUAAAAUUAUGAAAUUCAACAUAAUUUCCAAACUAUGAAUUUUGAAACAUAAGAAGAAUGUAAUGCCACAUAUUAGACUGAUACCUUUAUCACCCAGCAUAAGGUUUUCCCAUACUCUUUGAAGAGUGAAUUGCCAUGACAAAUCAACUUGAGGAUCAGUUGUUGGUAAAGUAUGGGAUCCAACCUUGUGAUACACAGAUAUGUUUGGUACAAAAAGUGCCUUCUUGAAACAGACACCUGA
Molecule: long non-coding RNA, 6841 nt
Filed under: Theobroma cacao (cacao)
Lineage: Eukaryota; Viridiplantae; Streptophyta; Magnoliopsida; Malvales; Malvaceae
Description: long non-coding RNA (TCAC_LNC005742)
Source: RNAcentral